RNAcentral lists this non-coding RNA (27 nucleotides) under Bombyx mori (domestic silkworm). The record is from RNAcentral. Lineage: Eukaryota; Metazoa; Arthropoda; Insecta; Lepidoptera; Bombycidae.
UAUUAGGGUUUCUAUCUCGGAUUGGUC